RNAcentral lists this ribosomal RNA (499 nucleotides) under uncultured Glomeromycotina. RNAcentral describes it as "partial small subunit ribosomal RNA". It matches the Rfam family "Eukaryotic small subunit ribosomal RNA", at positions 591 to 1092 of the family's 1831-position model. Lineage: Eukaryota; Fungi; Glomeromycota. The record is from RNAcentral.
CCAAUAGCGUAUAUUAAAGUUGUUGCAGUUAAAAAGCUCGUAGUUGAAUUUCGGGAUCAAGGGAUUGGUCAUGCCUCGGUAUGUACUGGUCUUAUUGGUUCUCACCUUCUAAGGAACCAUGAUGUCAUUUAUUUGAUGUUGUGGGGAAUUAGGACUGUUACCUUGAAAAAAUUAGAGUGUUUAAAGCAGGCUUACGCUUGAGUACAUUAGCAUGGAAUAAUGAAAUAGGACGUCAGAUUCUAUUUUGUUGGUUUCUAGGAUCGAUGUAAUGAUUAAUAGGGAUAGUUGGGGGCAUUAGUAUUCAAUUGUCAGAGGUGAAAUUAUUGGAUUUAUUGAAGACUAACUACUGCGAAAGCAUUUGCCAAGGAUGUUUUCAUUAAUCAAGAACGAAAGUUAGGGGAUCGAAGACGAUCAGAUACCGUCGUAGUCUUAACCAUAAACUAUGCCGACUAGGGAUCGGAUGAUGUUUAUUUUUUAGUGACUCAUUCGGCACCUUACG